CUACGGGUUGCUGCAGUGGGGAAUAUUGGACAAUGGGGGAAACCCUGAUGCAGCAACGCCGCGUGGAGGAUGACGCAUUUCGGUGUGUAAACUCCUUUUAUAUGUCAAGAAAAUGACGGUAGCAUAUGAAUAAGCACCGGCUAACUCCGUGCCAGCAGCCGCGGUAAUACGGAGGGUGCAAGCGUUACUCGGAAUCACUGGGCGUAAAGGACGCGUAGGCGGGUUGGAAAGUCAGGUGUGAAAUCCUACAGCUUAACUGUAGAACUGCACUUGAAACUUCUAAUCUAGAGUAUGGGAGGGGGAGAUGGAAUUAGUGGUGUAGGGGUAAAAUCCGUAGAUAUCACUAGGAAUACCUAAAGCGAAGGCGAUCUCCUGGAACAUUACUGACGCUAAGGCGUGAAAGCGUGGGGAGCAAACAGGAUUAGAUACCCCGGUAGUC
RNAcentral lists this ribosomal RNA (439 nucleotides) under uncultured bacterium. RNAcentral's name for it is "partial 16S ribosomal RNA". It matches the Rfam family "Bacterial small subunit ribosomal RNA", at positions 339 to 795 of the family's 1533-position model. The record is from RNAcentral.